RNAcentral lists this non-coding RNA (842 nucleotides) under Grandidierina lineata. RNAcentral's name for it is "partial 12S ribosomal RNA". It matches the Rfam family "Bacterial small subunit ribosomal RNA". The record is from RNAcentral. Lineage: Eukaryota; Metazoa; Chordata; Lepidosauria; Squamata; Scincidae.
UAAAGUUUUGGUCCUAAACUUACCAUUGUUUAUAAUCAGGAUUACACAUGCAAGCCUCCGCACACCAGUGAGAAUGCCCAUUAAACCCCCAACAGCUAGCCGGAGCAGGUAUCAGGACCGACAUUUCAGCCUAAAACGCCUUGCUACGCCACACCCACACGGGCACCCAGCAGUGAUUAACACUAAAACAUAGGCGCAAGCCUGAUUUGGCCAUGAUUAACAGAGCCGGUAAAUUUCGUGCCAGCCACCGCGGUUACACGAAAGACUUAAAACAAUGAGCCUCGGCGUAAAGCGUGACUAAAGAUAACGCUAUAAACUUAAAGAAAAACCACCACAAGGCCGUAAAACGCUACUGCGAGUGAGAGCCCCACCAAUAAACGGACUUUAAGUAAAAAGCCGCCCACCUCACGAAAGCUAAGAAACAAACUGGGAUUAGAUACCCCACUAUGCUUAGCCCUAAACAUAGACAGUACUAAUACAAUACCGUCCGCCAGAGAACUACAAGCAAAAAACUAGAAACUCCAAGGACUUGGCGGUGCUUCACAUCAACCUAGAGGAGCCUGUCCUAUAAUCGAUACCCCACGCUAAACCUCACCAUCUUUUGCCAUUCAGCCUAUAUACCGCCGUCGUCAGCCUACCUUAUGAAAGAAAAACAGUAGGCAAAACAGUCAAUAACUAACACGUCAGGUCAAGGUGUAGCAUAUAAGAUGGAAGAGAUGGGCUACAUUUUCUACCACAGAACACACGAAUGACACAAUGAAACACGUACCUAAAGGUGGAUUUAGCAGUAAGAUAAAAAAGCAACACUAUCUUAAACACGCUCUGAAGCGCGCACACACCGC